CUCUAUUUUCAUUUUUUCACAAAACUUUUCAUUCCUCUCCUUCCUCCUUACUUUCUCUCAAUUAUUCAUCAAAUAUAACUUAAAGAAUCUUUUGUUUCAAUUUUUCUUCUUUCGGUUCUCUGGAUCUAAAAAGCUUUGAUAUUCUUCUUCCCUUUGUGAUCGAUUGGAACGACUUCGCAUGUCUACGGAGGUUGUUUGGUAUGGCCAUUAUUCUUAUCAAGUUUUGUUCUUUUGAUAAUUUUAGUUACAGUUUGAUUAAAAUGUAAAGCAAUGUAUGAAAAUUUAGUUAAUGUCAUUAAACCAUAUUUUUGUUUAUAUUUUAUA
Long non-coding RNA from Mercurialis annua (annual mercury), 324 nucleotides. RefSeq lists it as uncharacterized. The record is from RefSeq and is a predicted model, not a curated record. The transcript is spliced from 2 exons. Lineage: Eukaryota; Viridiplantae; Streptophyta; Magnoliopsida; Malpighiales; Euphorbiaceae.